This is a non-coding RNA of Pelobates cultripes (western spadefoot toad), 202 nucleotides long. Lineage: Eukaryota; Metazoa; Chordata; Amphibia; Anura; Pelobatidae. The record is from the annotation of a GenBank genome assembly.
CCGUAGUCGCAGGGGGCAGAUAAGGUGAGAAUUACUUAACUGAACCUGUCCCACAUGGGCGUCAUCCUCUUGAUUGUGCUGCUCCUGCCAAAAUUGUUCUAAGCUCCAUGCAAUCCAGUUCAACUGUAUCCUUUUGGGCCUGUAUUUCAAAACUAGGAUAUGGAAUGUCUCCAUACAUCCUGUGUGACAGAUGUGGACUAAG